Molecule: ribosomal RNA, 253 nt
Filed under: uncultured bacterium
Lineage: Bacteria
Description: partial 16S ribosomal RNA
Rfam family: Bacterial small subunit ribosomal RNA
Source: RNAcentral
UACGUAGGCAGCAAGCGUUGUUCGGAUUUACUGGGCGUAAAGCGUGCGCAGGCGGUUUUGUAAGCCAGAUGUGAAAUCCCCGGGCUCAACCUGGGAAUGGCAUUUGGGACUGCAAGGCUGGAGUUUGGCAGAGGAGACUGGAAUUCCUGGUGUAGCAGUGAAAUGCGUAGAUAUCAGGAGGAACACCGAUGGCGAAGGCAGGUCUCUGGGCUGAAACUGACGCUCAUGCACGAAAGCGUGGGGAGCGAACAGG